Molecule: long non-coding RNA, 1137 nt
Filed under: Felis catus (domestic cat)
Lineage: Eukaryota; Metazoa; Chordata; Mammalia; Carnivora; Felidae
Description: lncRNA (ENSFCAG00000045295.2)
Source: RNAcentral
CCCUGGGCAUGUGAGACACGGUCAUUCAGACUGGUGCACGUCUGUCAUGGGACAUUUCCUCUGCUUCCUGAAAUAGAGCUCAACCCUCCUUCCAGAACCCAGUGCAGAAUACGUGACUCCCACUUGGAGAGUCAGCCCCGACGACUUCCAGACUUCGUUUUUGAUCGUUCGUCCCCCGGAAGGAGACUCCCUCACCAGGCGUUACCGUCACACCCUUCUCGAACAGGAAGGAAAAACUAGGCCCACUGAAGAAAAAGAACAAAGGUUGUGCUGCUGCGUCGCCGUGGUCAUACUCAGAAGACUUAACAAAGUGGGGACAUUUAAGGAAACCGUGAAGACAGAGAAAGCUUCCUUCCUUCCACUGUUUAUACCCAGACCUUGCACGGGAAACCCGGGACUCAGGAACACUGAGAAGCAUCGAUGGUGGCCGAGUGCCCCUUGCUGGUUCCCGACUGCUCCCAUAAUUAAGCCCAGAUUCCCCCCAUCACGCACAAGGCCCACCUCCACAUGGCUGAACCUGCCUGUCCAGCCUCCCGUGCCGCCCUCAGCACACAGCCUCCUGGAGCAUCUGGCCUGGGUUACCUUGAUUUUUGUUUUCUGUAUGUUCGCUGUUUCUAAGUAUUUAGUAUUAUAACGUGAAUUUCCAAACUUCGAUGCCUCUGAUUGGAAAUCACUCCUGACACCUUGUAGAAAGUACUCGCUUUUAAAAAAAAUUUUCUUGUGACGUUUAUUUAUUUUUGAGAGAAAGAGACAGAGUGGGAGCAGGGGAGGGGCAGAGGAGAGGGACACACAGAAUCCGAAGCAGGCUCCAGGCUCCGAGCAGUCAGCACAGAGCCCGACGCGGGGCUCGAACCCACGAACCGCGGGAUCAUGACCUGAGCUGAAGUCGGACCCCUAACCGACUGAGCCACCUAGGAGCCCCGAAAGCACUCACUUUUUAAGAUCCUCAUGAGUCCUGGUUCAGCACUGUCCUGUGCAUCCUGGGCGGGCUGAGGGGUCCCCGGCAGCUGGUGUAUCCUUUCUCUCACUGAUGAGGGUUCCUGCCACACAUUUACAGAGUGUCUUUUAUGCACCAUGGGCUGUACUCAGUUUAUCCCAUUUAAUUUUAUGUGAUAAUGUCCUGGGGGCACAUUGUUA